AGUUUGAUUAUGGCUCAGAUUGAACGCUGGCGGGAUGCUUUACAUGCAAGUCAGACAGCGGCACGGACUUCGGUCUGGUGGCGAGUGGCCGAACGGGUGAGUAAUGUAUCGGAACGUGCUUGCUGGCUGGCAGGGGAUAACUACGCGGCGUAGCUAAUACCGCAUACGCCCUUCGAGGAAAGCGGGGGACCUUCGGGCCUCGCACUAUUAGAAGCAACCGAUAUCGGAUUAGCUAGUUGGUGGGGUAACGGCUCACCAAGGCGACGAUCCGUAGCUGGUUUGAGAGGACGACCAGCUA
Molecule: unclassified non-coding RNA, 298 nt
Filed under: uncultured Bordetella sp.
Lineage: Bacteria; Pseudomonadati; Pseudomonadota; Betaproteobacteria; Burkholderiales; Alcaligenaceae
Description: partial 16S-23S ribosomal RNA intergenic spacer
Rfam family: Bacterial small subunit ribosomal RNA
Source: RNAcentral